This 537-nucleotide ribosomal RNA is filed under the name uncultured Pseudomonadota bacterium. Its description in RNAcentral is "bacterial SSU rRNA". It matches the Rfam family "Bacterial small subunit ribosomal RNA", at positions 8 to 522 of the family's 1533-position model. Lineage: Bacteria; Pseudomonadati; Pseudomonadota. The record is from RNAcentral.
AGAGUUUGAUCAUGGCUCAGAGCGAACGUUAGCGGCAGGCCUAACACAUGCAAGUCGCACGAGAAUUGGUCUUCGGACCAUAGUAAAGUGGCGGACGGGUGAGUAACACGUGGAUAAUCUGCCCUUCGGCGGGGGACAACAGUCCGAAAGGAUUGCUAAUACCGCAUACGUCAGCGAGGUCUUCGGAUCUUGUUGGGAAAGAUGGCCUCUUCAUGAAAGCUAUCACCGAAGGAUGAGUCCGCGGCCCAUCAGCUAGUUGGCGGUGUAAUAGACCACCAAGGCUAAGACGGGUAGCUGGUCUGAGAGGAUGAUCAGCCACACUGGAACUGAGACACGGUCCAGACUCCUACGGGAGGCAGCAGUGGGGAAUAUUGGGCAAUGGGCGCAAGCCUGACCCAGCCAUGCCGCGUGAGUGAUGAAGGCCUUCGGGUCGUAAAGCUCUGUGGGGAGGGAAGAAACUCCGUAUGGCUAACAUCCAUACGGUUGACGGUACCUCCUUAGCAAGCACCGGCUAACUCCCUGCCAGCAGCCGCGGUA